RNAcentral lists this ribosomal RNA (2893 nucleotides) under Escherichia coli. Its description in RNAcentral is "partial 23S ribosomal RNA". It matches the Rfam family "Bacterial large subunit ribosomal RNA". Lineage: Bacteria; Pseudomonadati; Pseudomonadota; Gammaproteobacteria; Enterobacterales; Enterobacteriaceae. The record is from RNAcentral.
GUGGAUGCCCUGGCAGUCAGAGGCGAUGAAGGACGUGCUAAUCUGCGAUAAGCGUCGGUGAGGUGAUAUGAACCGUUAUAACCGGCGAUUUCCGAAUGGGGAAACCCAGUGUGUUUCGACACACUAUCAUUAACUGAAUCCAUAGGUUAAUGAGGCGAACCGGGGGAACUGAAACAUCUAAGUACCCCGAGGAAAAGAAAUCAACCGAGAUUCCCCCAGUAGCGGCGAGCGAACGGGGAGGAGCCCAGAGUCUGAAUCAGUGUGUGUGUUAGUGGAAGCGUCUGGAAAGGCGCGCGAUACAGGGUGACAGCCCCGUACACAAAAAUGCACAUAUUGUGAGCUCGAUGAGUAGGGCGGGACACGUGGUAUCCUGUCUGAAUAUGGGGGGACCAUCCUCCAAGGCUAAAUACUCCUGACUGACCGAUAGUGAACCAGUACCGUGAGGGAAAGGCGAAAAGAACCCCGGCGAGGGGAGUGAAAAAGAACCUGAAACCGUGUACGUACAAGCAGUGGGAGCCUCUUAAUGGGGUGACUGCGUACCUUUUGUAUAAUGGGUCAGCGACUUAUAUUCUGUAGCAAGGUUAACCGAAUAGGGGAGCCGAAGGGAAACCGAGUCUUAACUGGGCGUUAAGUUGCAGGGUAUAGACCCGAAACCCGGUGAUCUAGCCAUGGGCAGGUUGAAGGUUGGGUAACACUAACUGGAGGACCGAACCGACUAAUGUUGAAAAAUUAGCGGAUGACUUGUGGCUGGGGGUGAAAGGCCAAUCAAACCGGGAGAUAGCUGGUUCUCCCCGAAAGCUAUUUAGGUAGCGCCUCGUGAAUUCAUCUCCGGGGGUAGAGCACUGUUUCGGCAAGGGGGUCAUCCCGACUUACCAACCCGAUGCAAACUGCGAAUACCGGAGAAUGUUAUCACGGGAGACACACGGCGGGUGCUAACGUCCGUCGUGAAGAGGGAAACAACCCAGACCGCCAGCUAAGGUCCCAAAGUCAUGGUUAAGUGGGAAACGAUGUGGGAAGGCCCAGACAGCCAGGAUGUUGGCUUAGAAGCAGCCAUCAUUUAAAGAAAGCGUAAUAGCUCACUGGUCGAGUCGGCCUGCGCGGAAGAUGUAACGGGGCUAAACCAUGCACCGAAGCUGCGGCAGCGACACUAUGUGUUGUUGGGUAGGGGAGCGUUCUGUAAGCCUGUGAAGGUGUGCUGUGAGGCAUGCUGGAGGUAUCAGAAGUGCGAAUGCUGACAUAAGUAACGAUAAAGCGGGUGAAAAGCCCGCUCGCCGGAAGACCAAGGGUUCCUGUCCAACGUUAAUCGGGGCAGGGUGAGUCGACCCCUAAGGCGAGGCCGAAAGGCGUAGUCGAUGGGAAACAGGUUAAUAUUCCUGUACUUGGUGUUACUGCGAAGGGGGGACGGAGAAGGCUAUGUUGGCCGGGCGACGGUUGUCCCGGUUUAAGCGUGUAGGCUGGUUUUCCAGGCAAAUCCGGAAAACCAAGGCUGAGGCGUGAUGACGAGGCACUACGGUGCUGAAGCGACAAAUGCCCUGCUUCCAGGAAAAGCCUCUAAGCAUCAGGUAACAUCAAAUCGUACCCCAAACCGACACAGGUGGUCAGGUAGAGAAUACCAAGGCGCUUGAGAGAACUCGGGUGAAGGAACUAGGCAAAAUGGUGCCGUAACUUCGGGAGAAGGCACGCUGAUAUGUAGGUGAAGCGACUUGCUCGUGGAGCUGAAAUCAGUCGAAGAUACCAGCUGGCUGCAACUGUUUAUUAAAAACACAGCACUGUGCAAACACGAAAGUGGACGUAUACGGUGUGACGCCUGCCCGGUGCCGGAAGGUUAAUUGAUGGGGUUAGCGGUAACGCGAAGCUCUUGAUCGAAGCCCCGGUAAACGGCGGCCGUAACUAUAACGGUCCUAAGGUAGCGAAAUUCCUUGUCGGGUAAGUUCCGACCUGCACGAAUGGCGUAAUGAUGGCCAGGCUGUCUCCACCCGAGACUCAGUGAAAUUGAACUCGCUGUGAAGAUGCAGUGUACCCGCGGCAAGACGGAAAGACCCCGUGAACCUUUACUAUAGCUUGACACUGAACAUUGAGCCUUGAUGUGUAGGAUAGGUGGGAGGCUUUGAAGUGUGGACGCCAGUCUGCAUGGAGCCGACCUUGAAAUACCACCCUUUAAUGUUUGAUGUUCUAACGUGGGCCCCUAAUCGGGGUUGCGGACAGUGUCUGGUGGGUAGUUUGACUGGGGCGGUCUCCUCCUAAAGAGUAACGGAGGAGCACGAAGGUUGGCUAAUCCUGGUCGGACAUCAGGAGGUUAGUGCAAUGGCAUAAGCCAGCUUGACUGCGAGCGUGACGGCGCGAGCAGGUGCGAAAGCAGGUCAUAGUGAUCCGGUGGUUCUGAAUGGAAGGGCCAUCGCUCAACGGAUAAAAGGUACUCCGGGGAUAACAGGCUGAUACCGCCCAAGAGUUCAUAUCGACGGCGGUGUUUGGCACCUCGAUGUCGGCUCAUCACAUCCUGGGGCUGAAGUAGGUCCCAAGGGUAUGGCUGUUCGCCAUUUAAAGUGGUACGCGAGCUGGGUUUAGAACGUCGUGAGACAGUUCGGUCCCUAUCUGCCGUGGGCGCUGGAGAACUGAGGGGGGCUGCUCCUAGUACGAGAGGACCGGAGUGGACGCAUCACUGGUGUUCGGGUUGUCAUGCCAAUGGCACUGCCCGGUAGCUAAAUGCGGAAGAGAUAAGUGCUGAAAGCAUCUAAGCACGAAACUUGCCCCGAGAUGAGUUCUCCCUGACUCCUUGAGAGUCCUGAAGGAACGUUGAAGACGACGACGUUGAUAGGCCGGGUGUGUAAGCGCAGCGAUGCGUUGAGCUAACCGGUACUAAUGAACCGUGAGGCUUAACCUUACAACGCCGAAG